GAUGAAGAACGCAGUGAAAUGCGAUAAGUAAUGUGAAUUGCAGAAUUCAGUGAAUCAUUGAAUCUUUGAACGCACCUUGCGCUCCUUGGUAUUCCGAGGAGCAUGCCUGUUUGAGUGUCAUUAAUAUAUCAACCUUCUCUUUUUUGAGUUGUUUGGAUGUGGGGGUUUGCUGGCCUCUUAAAUGAUUCAGCUCCCCUGAAAUGCAUUAGCAGAACAACCUGUUCAUUGGCGUGAUAAUUAUCUAUGCUAUUGAAUGUGAGGGCAGUUCAGCUUUCUAACCGUCCUUGGACAAUUCAUCAUUAAUGUGACCUCAAAUCAGGUAGGACUACCCGCUGAACUUAAGCAUAUCAAUAAGCGGAGGA
Molecule: unclassified non-coding RNA, 362 nt
Filed under: soil metagenome
Description: partial contains 5.8S ribosomal RNA, internal transcribed spacer 2, and large subunit ribosomal RNA
Rfam family: 5.8S ribosomal RNA (bases 1-120)
Source: RNAcentral